CGCAAUGGGCGCAAGUCUGACGGAGCGACGCCGCGUGGUCGAUGAAGUCCCUCUGGGACGUAAAGACCUUUUAUAGGGGAGAAAGUUUAUUGAUAGUACCCUAUGAAUAAGAGGUUGCUAAACUCGUGCCAGCAGCAGCGGUAAUACGAGUGCCUCAAGCGUUAUCCGGAAUUAUUGGGCGUAAAGGGUGUGUAGGUGGUCAGAUUAGUCUCCUGUCAAAUUCUUCGGCUUAACCGGGGGCUCGCGGGGGAAACGGUCUGACUUGAGGGUGCGAGGGGUGUGUGGAACUCAUGGAGUAGGGGUGAAAUCCGUUGAUAUCAUGGGGAACCCCAAAAGCGAAGGCAGCACCCUGGCGCCUUCCCGUCCCUGGAACACGAAAGCGU
RNAcentral lists this ribosomal RNA (383 nucleotides) under uncultured organism. Its description in RNAcentral is "bacterial SSU rRNA". It matches the Rfam family "Bacterial small subunit ribosomal RNA", at positions 367 to 762 of the family's 1533-position model. The record is from RNAcentral.